Molecule: non-coding RNA, 91 nt
Filed under: bovine gut metagenome
Also listed under: 1 other name
Description: SAM riboswitch (S box leader)
Rfam family: SAM riboswitch aptamer (S box leader)
About the family: The SAM riboswitch is found upstream of a number of genes which code for proteins involved in methionine or cysteine biosynthesis in Gram-positive bacteria.
Source: RNAcentral
CUUAUCAAGAGUGGCGGAGGGACCGGCCCUGUGAAGCCCGGCAACCUGCAUUUGCAAGGUGCCAAAUCCGGCGAGAAAAUCGGCAGAUGAG